This 484-nucleotide ribosomal RNA is filed under the name uncultured bacterium. Its description in RNAcentral is "partial 16S ribosomal RNA". It matches the Rfam family "Bacterial small subunit ribosomal RNA", at positions 30 to 507 of the family's 1533-position model. The record is from RNAcentral.
AGUGAACGCUGGCGGCAGGCCUAACACAUGCAAGUCGAGCGGCAGCGGGUCCUUCGGGAUGCCGGCGAGCGGCGGACGGGUGAGGAAUGCAUCGGAAUCUGCCCUGUCGUGGGGGAUAACCUAGGGAAACUUAGGCUAAUACCGCAUACGACCCACGGGUGAAAGCGGGGGAUCGCAAGACCUCGCGCGAUAGGAUGAGCCGAUGUCCGAUUAGCUAGUUGGCGGGGUAAAGGCCCACCAAGGCGACGAUCGGUAGCUGGUCUGAGAGGAUGAUCAGCCACACUGGGACUGAGACACGGCCCAGACUCCUACGGGAGGCAGCAGUGGGGAAUAUUGGACAAUGGGCGCAAGCCUGAUCCAGCCAUGCCGCGUGGGGGAAGAAGGCCUUCGGGUUGUAAAGCCCUUUUGUCCGGGAAGAAAUCGUCUGGGCUAAUACCCCGGGCGGAUGACGGUACCGGAAGAAUAAGCACCGGCUAACUUCGUG